AUUGAACGCUGGCGGCAUGCCUAACACAUGCAAGUCGAGCGGAUGAACUCAUCUUGCUCCUGGUUUCCGCGGCGGGCGGGUGUGUAAUGCCUAUGAAUCUUCCUCGUAGUGCGGGAUGACAUCCGUAAACGAGUGCUUAUACCGCAUACUUCCUGCGGGUGAAGGUUGGUGAUCUUCAGAGCUCACGGUUUCAGAUUAUCCUCGGUCGGUUUAGCUAGUUUGUGGGGUAAAUGCCUACCAAGGCGAAGAUCCGUAACUCGUCUGAGAGGAUGAUCAGUCACACUAGAACUGAGACACGGACCAGACUCCUAAGAGAGGCAGCAGUGGGGAAUAGGAGACAAUGGGCGAAAGCAUGAUCCAGCCAGGGCGCGUGUGUGAAGGAGGUCUUCGGAGUGGAAAGAACGUUAAGGGGGGAGAAAGGGCAGUAAGUAAAGACCAUGCGGUUGUGACGUUACCAGCAGAAGAAGCACCGGCUAACUUCGUG
Molecule: ribosomal RNA, 484 nt
Filed under: uncultured bacterium
Lineage: Bacteria
Description: partial 16S ribosomal RNA
Rfam family: Bacterial small subunit ribosomal RNA
Source: RNAcentral